This 2950-nucleotide ribosomal RNA is filed under the name Acidobacteriota bacterium. RNAcentral's name for it is "bacterial LSU rRNA". The stretch from base 1 to 2149 matches the Rfam family "Bacterial large subunit ribosomal RNA". Lineage: Bacteria; Pseudomonadati; Acidobacteriota. The record is from RNAcentral.
UUAAGCUACUAAGGGCGUACGGUGGAUGCCUUGGCGCCAGAAGGCGAUGAAGGACGUGGCAAGCUGCGAUAAGCCCCGGGGAGCCGCAAGCAGGCUUUGAUCCGAGGAUGUCCGAAUGGGGAAACCCGGCGGGAUGAACUCCCGUUACAGCCCGCUGAAUUCAUAGGCGGGUAUGAGCCAACCCAGGGAAGUGAACCAUCUCAGUACCUGGUGGAAAAUAAAUCACAGAGAUUCCGAAAGUAGCGGCGAGCGAAAUCGGAACAGCCCAAACCCCGGUAUUUAUACCGGGGGGUUGUAGGACCGCGUGAGUAGAGUUACCAAUCCGACGGUUAGGUGAACCCGCUGGAAAGCGGGGCCAUAGAAUGUGAGAGCCAUGUAACCGAAAGCUGAUCGGACUCGAAGCGGAAUCCUGAGUACCACCGGACACGUGUAAUCCGGUGGGAAGCUGGGGAGACCACUCUCCAAGGCUAAAUACUCUCUGGCGACCGAUAGUGAACCAGUACCGCGAGGGAAAGGCGAAAAGCACCCCUGCGAGGGGAGUGAAAUAGAACCUGAAACCGUAUGCUUACAAGCAGUCGGAGGGCUAUGUGCGGACUUCGGUCCGUACCCGCCUGACGGCGUGCCUCUUGCUUAAUGAGCCGGCUAGUUAUUCUUACGUGCGAGGUUAAGCGCAAGCGAGCCGUAGCGAAAGCGAGUCCGAACAGGGCGACAGUACGUAGGAAUAGACGCGAAGCGGGAUGAUCUACCCUUGGCCAGGUUGAAGGCCGCUUAACCGCGGCUGGAGGACCGAACCGGUGUGAGUUGAAAAUCGCUCGGAUGAGCUGAGGGUAGGGGUGAAAGGCUAAUCAAAUUCCGUGAUAGCUCGUUCUCCCCGAAAUGUCUUUAGGGACAGCCUUGUGUGAAUUGCCACGGUGGUAGAGCACUGAAUGGACUAGGGACCAACUCAGGUUACCGAAUCCAAUCAAACUACGAAUGCCGUGGACAACUGCACGGGAGUGAGACUACGAGGGAUAAGCUUCGUGGUCAAAAGGGAAACAGCCCAGAUCGCCAGCUAAGGUCCCUAACUGUGUGCUAAGUGGGAAAGGAAGUGUAUUCGCUCGGACAGCCAGGAGGUUGGCUUAGAAGCAGCCAUCCUUUAAAGAAAGCGUAACAGCUCACUGGUCAAGCGGAUAUGCACCAACAAUCCAACGGGGCUCAAGCACACGACCGAAGCUGCGAAAUGACAUUUCUUCGGAAAUGUCUUUGGUAGGGGAGCAUUGUGUGUGGUCUUAAGGCAGACCGCGAGGACUGCUGAACUCCACACAAGAGACCCUGCCGGCAUAAGUAGCGAUAAACACGAUGAGAACUCGUGUCGCCGAAAGUCUAAGGUUUCCUGAGGAAGGUUAAUCCGCUCAGGGUUAGGCGGGUCCUAAGGUGAGGCCGAAAGGCGUAGCUGAUGGACAACAGGUCAACAUUCCUGUCCCGCCUGGCGACGUUAUCACGAUGGGGUGACGCAGAAGGAUAGGAGAUCCACCUGAUGGAUGGUGGUUGGCGAGUGUAAGCCGGAUCCCGGAGGAAAAUCCCCGGGGUCAUUCAACGGUGAGACUCGACACGUGGCCGUAUGGCCGAGAAGUCUCUGAUUCUACGCUGCCGGGAAAACCCUCUAAGGAGUCCGCCAGGUGCCCGUACCACAAACCGACACAGGUAGACAAGGUGAAUAUCCACAGGCGCUCGAGAGAACGCUCGCUCAGGAACUAGGCACAUUAGCCCCGUAACCUCGGGAGAAGGGGCACCGCACUAGGGUUUAUCGCCCGAAGCGGUCGCAGUGAAAUGCGCUCUGCAACUGUUUAACAAAAACACAGCUCUCUGCAAAGUCGAAUACGACGUAUAGGGGGUGACACCUGCCCGGUGCCGGAAGGUUAAAGCAAGGGCUCAGCCGCAAGGCGAAGGCCUGAACUGAAGCCCCGGUGAACGGCGGCCGUAACUAUAGUUUAGACCACUGUAGUUUCGAGAACAAAAUCUGGCUAUUUGCUGGAACGUCCGUCAAACCGCGGUACUCGCCACUAGCCUGCUAGAGCCAGGCGAAGAAGGUGGCAGUGAAAAUCCGCGGGUUUCUGGACUAUCAGCAGGAAAGGCUCUGGCCUUUUCGGAGAAGUCCAUGCUUAAUCCCAGAACGGUUUCAAGUGAGAUCGGGUGGUAUUUGGCUGGCUUUGCCGAUGGCGAAGGAAGUUUCAACGUUUCCUUUCGUCCUCGCGAAGACUACCAAUGCCCCUGGAAAGUCUCACUGUGCUUCAAUAUCUCUCAGCGUGAUCCAGUGGUUCUGACGCUCUUCAAGCGCCAUCUGCAGUGCGGCACGAUGAGGCAGCGCCACGACGGAGUCUGGUACUACGAGGUGAACAACCUUACUCCGAUCCUGGAGAACGUGAUUCCUUUCUUUGACCGCUUCCAUUUUCUCUCCGCAAAGAAAAAACGCGAUUUUGCAAAGUUCAAGCAGAUCGCCGAGAUCAUUCGCGGAGGGCAGCACGAAACGCGGGAGGGAAUCGAAGAGAUUCUGAAGAUCCGAGACGAUAUGAACGAUGGGGGAAAGCGUCGGUACUCGCACGAAGAAAUCCGAAAACGGCUGGAGAAUCCUCAGAGACCAUACGCCGGACCUGCGAAGCUUGCAGGAUGAUAUGGUCCGACCUCCGUGGAGACACGGAGAGCCAGGCGGAAACGUCCUGGCCGCCGAUCGGAACUCGAUCGGCAGUAACAAACGUGAACGGUCCUAAGGUUUAUCGGUAUACCAUUCAAAACAUGAGCCUUAGUAAAAACUGGCCAAAUGCGGGAAAAUCCGAGAAUUCUCUGCUACCUGCCGAUUCGCAGUCGGCGGUAACAAGGCAGGAGAUGCGGACCAUCCGCAGGAAAGGCCGAAUCGGCAAUGAUUCGGAAUCCUCAGAGACUAUACGCCAGUCUCCGGCGCAAGCUGGAGAAG